This 465-nucleotide ribosomal RNA is filed under the name uncultured Klebsiella sp. RNAcentral describes it as "bacterial SSU rRNA". It matches the Rfam family "Bacterial small subunit ribosomal RNA", at positions 338 to 795 of the family's 1533-position model. Lineage: Bacteria; Pseudomonadati; Pseudomonadota; Gammaproteobacteria; Enterobacterales; Enterobacteriaceae. The record is from RNAcentral.
CCUACGGGUGGCUGCAGUGGGGAAUAUUGCACAAUGGGCGCAAGCCUGAUGCAGCCAUGCCGCGUGUGUGAAGAAGGCCUUCGGGUUGUAAAGCACUUUCAGCGGGGAGGAAGGCGUUAAGGUUAAUAACCUUGGCGAUUGACGUUACCCGCAGAAGAAGCACCGGCUAACUCCGUGCCAGCAGCCGCGGCAAUACGGAGGGUUCAAGCGUUAAUCGGAAUUACUGGGCGUAAAGCGCACGCAGGCGGUCUGUCAAGUCGGAUGUGAAAUCCCCGGGCUCAACCUGGGAACUGCAUUCGAAACUGGCAGGCUAGAGUCUUGUAGAGGGGGGUAGAAUUCCAGGUGUAGCGGUGAAAUGCGUAGAGAUCUGGAGGAAUACCGGUGGCGAAGGCGGCCCCCUGGACAAAGACUGACGCUCAGGUGCGAAAGCGUGGGGAGCAAACAGGAUUAGAUACCCCAGUAGUC